UUUUCACCUAAAACAAGAAACAGUAGUGUUAUUAAGUAGUUUAGGCACGAUCACGAACUUUGAAAACUAAACAACGCGAUCUAUUGCAUUAACUGUCUUCAAGGUCCAAUGUAUGGUACAAACACUGCCGUUGGUCGUUAACGGUCAACAAAAUACGUGCAUGAAACCUGAUCGAGCUUAUAUCCUAUCCCGAUGGCUAAAUGAUGAUAUAAAGACACUUGCCUGCCAACCAGGGUAUUCAUUUAUCAUAAACGCAUCCCUCGAUGAAUCCUGUGUUCCAGCGUUCAUGCCAACUUGGCCACAAGCAACUUCACAGGCCAUCAGCAAUCUAUUUUCUUGGGAGGCUUCAGAUCUCUGAUUGGAGAUUUGACCAAAGUUAGUCACCCUCGAGGAGUGGUUGAGCCUUCAUGACACUUAAGCCAUAGAUUACAAUCUGCCCACUCGCACAAGCACGGAAUCAAUGCCAACAAUGUAGGGGGUACUAGGGCUUGGGCCAUCACAUUGAUGGAUCCACCACGAUAACCUCCAAGAUAAAGGUCAUUAUUUCAAGUAGCCAUUCUCGGAACUAUCCUCACUCCCUCCCCUACCAGCAACCGAGAAUCUGAACAUUGGAAAAGAUCCUGGUCUUACAUUGUGCUUUGGAACA
This is a long non-coding RNA of Tigriopus californicus, 646 nucleotides long. RefSeq lists it as uncharacterized. The record is from RefSeq and is a predicted model, not a curated record. NCBI's taxonomy places the organism in Eukaryota, Metazoa, Arthropoda, Copepoda, Harpacticoida, Harpacticidae. The transcript has 3 exons.